This 468-nucleotide ribosomal RNA is filed under the name uncultured bacterium. Its description in RNAcentral is "partial 16S ribosomal RNA". It matches the Rfam family "Bacterial small subunit ribosomal RNA", at positions 28 to 507 of the family's 1533-position model. The record is from RNAcentral.
GACGAACGCUGGCGGCGUGCUUAACGCAUGCAAGUCGAACGGAAAGGCCCUGCUUUUGUGCGGUGCUCGAGUGGCGAACGGGUGAGUAACACGUGAGUAACCUGCCCUUGACUUUGGGAUAACUUCAGGAAACUGGGGCUAAUACCGGAUAGGAGCUCCUGCUGCAUGGUGGGGGUUGGAAAGUUUCGGCGGUUGGGGAUGGACUCGCGGCUUAUCAGCUUGUUGGUGGGGUAGUGGCUUACCAAGGCUUUGACGGGUAGCCGGCCUGAGAGGGUGACCGGCCACAUUGGGACUGAGAUACGGCCCAGACUCCUACGGGAGGCAGCAGUGGGGAAUAUUGCACAAUGGGCGGAAGCCUGAUGCAGCAACGCCGCGUGCGGGAUGACGGCCUUCGGGUUGUAAACCGCUUUCGCCUGUGACGAAGCGUGAGUGACGGUAAUGGGUAAAGAAGCACCGGCUAACUACGUG